Molecule: long non-coding RNA, 229 nt
Organism: Canis lupus familiaris (dog)
Lineage: Eukaryota; Metazoa; Chordata; Mammalia; Carnivora; Canidae
Exons: 3
Source: RefSeq, a predicted model, not a curated record
CAAUAGGCUACCACGUUCAUCUCAUUGGCCAGGAAGGGUCAUGUGGCCCUUUUCACUACCAGGAGCAUGGGGGAAAGCAAGUUUCAUGAGAGCGGGACCUUGUCUAUCUUGUUCACAACUUUAUUCCUGGCACCUGGGGCAGUGCCUGUGACUAAUCUGUCAGCACACUUCAGAAGAGCUGAACCUUUGAAACAGAGCCUGCCUAACUACAUUUCCAGUUUAAGCAGAG